GAUGAACGCUGGCGGCGUGCCUAAUACAUGCAAGUCGAGCGAACGGACGAGAAGCUUGCUUCUCUGAUGUUAGCGGCGGACGGGUGAGUAACACGUGGAUAACCUACCUAUAAGACUGGGAUAACUUCGGGAAACCGGAGCUAAUACCGGAUAAUAUUUUGAACCGCAUGGUUCAAAAGUGAAAGACGGUCUUGCUGUCACUUAUAGAUGGAUCCGCGCUGCAUUAGCUAGUUGGUAAGUUAACGGCUUACCAAGGCAACGAUGCAUAGACGACCUGAGAGGGUGAUCGGCCACACUGGAACUGAGACACGGUCCAGACUCCUACGGGAGGCAGCAGUAGGGAAUCUUCCGCAAUGGGCGAAAGCCUGACGGAGCAACGCCGCGUGAGUGAUGAAGGUCUUCGGAUCGUAAAACUCUGUUAUUAGGGAAGAACAUAUGUGUAAGUAACUGUGCACAUCUUGACGGUACCUAAUCAGAAAGCCACGGCUAACUACGUG
RNAcentral lists this ribosomal RNA (497 nucleotides) under uncultured bacterium. RNAcentral describes it as "partial 16S ribosomal RNA". It matches the Rfam family "Bacterial small subunit ribosomal RNA", at positions 28 to 507 of the family's 1533-position model. The record is from RNAcentral.